Molecule: ribosomal RNA, 428 nt
Filed under: uncultured bacterium
Lineage: Bacteria
Description: bacterial SSU rRNA
Rfam family: Bacterial small subunit ribosomal RNA
Source: RNAcentral
GUAGGGAAUAUUGGACAAUGGGGGCAACCCUGAUCCAGCCAUGCCGCGUGAGUGAAGAAGGCCCUCGGGUUGUAAAGCUCUUUUGUCCGGAAAGAAAAGCAUUCGGUGAAUACCCGGAUGUUCUGACGGUACCGGAAGAAUAAGCACUGGCUAACUUCGUGCCAGCAGCCGCGGUAAUACGAAGGGUGCAAGCGUUACUCGGAAUUACUGGGCGUAAAGCGUGCGUAGGUGGUUGUUUAAGUCUGAUGUGAAAGCCCUGGGCUCAACCUGGGAAUGGCAUUGGAAACUGGGCAGCUAGAGUGCGGUAGAGGGUAGUGGAAUUCCCGGUGUAGCAGUGAAAUGCGUAGAGAUCGGGAGGAACAUCUGUGGCGAAGGCGACUGCCUGGACCAGCACUGACACUGAGGCACGAAAGCGUGGGGAGCAAACA